Molecule: ribosomal RNA, 269 nt
Filed under: uncultured prokaryote
Description: partial 16S ribosomal RNA
Rfam family: Bacterial small subunit ribosomal RNA
Source: RNAcentral
AACGUAGGACGCAAGCGUUAUCCGGAAUUACUGGGCGUAAAGCGCGCGCAGGCGGGUCCGCAAGUCAUGUGUGAAAGCUCCCGGCUAAACCGGGAGAGGUCAGAUGAAACUGCGGGUCUAGAGGGUGUUAGAGGAGUGUGGAAUUCCACGUGUAGUGGUGAAAUGCGUAGAUAUGUGGAGGAACACCAGUGGCGAAGGCGACACUCUGGGACACCCCUGACGCUGAGGCGCGAAAGCAUGGGGAGCGAACGGGAUUAGAUACCCCCGUA